RNA transcript from Eupeodes corollae, 4980 nucleotides. It is a transcript of the gene named tropomodulin, with no coding region annotated. The transcript is spliced from 11 exons. The record is from RefSeq and is a predicted model, not a curated record. Lineage: Eukaryota; Metazoa; Arthropoda; Insecta; Diptera; Syrphidae.
CGAACUGACGAAGAUCCUCUCCAUCAUCGUUAUAAUCAUCCAAGCCGUAGUAGUCGUCAUUUUUGCAGCAAAAUUACGUGCAAUUAGAUCGGCGAGUCGCGCGACUAAAAUACAUAUAAUAUUGUGCUCAUAAUAAUUUUCAAUAUUAAUUUAUAAUUUUCAAAAACGAAUUUUCCAUUUAGUGAAUGCUUUAAUUUGGAUUUCCACGACCGACGAUCAUCAUAGACGACCGACGACGUGUUGUGUGUUGAGAAUUUUCAGAAAUUAUAAGCAUUUUCAAAAAAUAUAAAAAGAAGUAUAAAAAGUUUCAAAACUUCCCAAAGUGUGUGCGUUUUUGAGAGACUUAUUUUUUUUUGAAUAUUCGUCUCCCAGUUUUUUAUUAAUAAUAAUUUUUUGCCCAAGAAAAAAUACAAAUUUUCAUCGUUUUUUAGUCUUUGGAAAAUAAAUUGUGUUUUAUUUAAUUCAGUUUUUUAACUGCCAAAGUGUGCCUGGUGCCAGAAUACAGAAAAAUACGUUUUCUUUUCGAGAAGUUUUGUUCUGUUUUACAGAAAUUCAAAAUUCAUUCAGAAAGUGUGAACCACACGCAGAGUGAUAUUGAAAGUGAGAUUUUUAAGUGUAAGCGGGAAGGAGUACACAAAUAACCUCUAAAAAAUUGUUUGCAUAACCUAAAAAUUCAACUUAAAAAAAUAUCUUCUCUCACUCGAAAGUGUUUUAUCAGUUUUUGAAUUUUUUUAAAUUUAACUUUGUGCGAUAACGAAUCGUUUGGGAGUUGGAUUUUUGAAAAAUCUCCACCAAUAUGGCCGAUACUGAUGUUUUUGGAGAUAAUUCCGUUGAGAAAAUGUCCACCGAGGACCUAACCGACGAGGGUGCUCCUGCCAAAGAGGAUAUUACCGAGGAGGAGCCCCCGAAGCAGGUCAAGGAGGAAUUGCUCAAGGAGGAAACGGAAGAACUCCAACCGGACAGUUCCGUUCAGGAGAUUGUUGAUGAGAAUGGUGACGUUUACGAGGAAACCACUCAGGUGGCCCGUAAAGUUGUGAAACGUACAAUGAAAAUCACUGAGACUUCAUCAACAACAAAAACAACAACCAUGACAACUCCUGCUAAAUUAUAUGGCAAGGAUUUAAGUGAAUAUGAUGAAGUUGAUGUAGAUGCAUUGUUGGCACAGCUUUCACCAGAAGAGAUUAAUAUUUUGGCAAAAGAAGUCGAUCCUGAUGAUAACUUCCUGCCACCAAAUCAACGUUGCAGUUAUGAAUGUAAAAAAGAUCCCACCGGACCAUUGGACAGAAAGAAGCUCAUCGAACAUAUUAACAAAGAAGCCCUUGAAACACCCGAUCUACCCGAAAUAGAACCUUUCGUCAAAGGUACAGUUCGUGGUAAAAAAUGGGUUCCACCACCACGAGAUGAUCGAGAAAUUGCAGCUGAUGAACAAAUUGCCAUUGAUAUGGGUGAAGAAUAUGAACAUGCUUUAAGUGAUGCCACACAAGAAGAGAUUAUUGACUUGGCUGCUAUUCUCGGAUUCCAUUCGAUGAUGAAUCAAGACCAAUACCAUGCGUCACUUCUUAAUAAAGGUCAACCAAUCGGUAUGGGUUGGGAUGGUAUUACAAAAUCUACACAACAAAAAUUAUAUCCAAUGGAUCCGCCAAAUACAACAGAUAUUGAUGAAUCUGUUAAGCGGGUCAAAGAUGAUGAUCCAAAAUUGAUUGAACUGAAUUUGAAUAAUAUUAAGAAUAUAUCCGAUGAGAAAUACGAGCAAUUGUUCGCCGUACUGCCCCAAAAUGAACAUUUGGAAGUUCUAUCAUUAACAAAUGUCGGUCUAACCGAUAAAACAGCUCUCUUAUUGGCAGAAGCUAUUGAAAAAAGCAAAACCCUGAGAGUAUUAAAUGUCGAAACAAAUUUCAUAAGUCCCCCAGUGAUUGUGACUUUGGUAAAAGCGUUACUCAAAGCACGUACAAUUGAAGAAUUUAGAGCCUCAAAUCAGCGAUCAACAGUUCUUGGUAACAAAAUCGAGAUGGAGAUUACGGAUUUAGUAGAAAAGAACACAUCCCUACUCAGAUUGGGUCUCCAUUUGGAAUUCAAUGAUGCCCGUCAUAGAGUUGCCGCCCAUCUGCAGCGCAAUAUCGACAGGAUUGUACGUGUUCAAAAAUUGAAGCCAAAACUACCAUUGUUAAUACUACCCGAGGGCAAUGUCGAAUUACCAGCAAGUGAAAUUGACAGAAGGUUCGCCAUGUCGUCGUCGCCAUCUCCGUCACCAUCGCCAUCACCCCAACCACGACCCGAUUAUGAUGUCGAAAUUGAUCCCGAUAACAUUGUAGUUCGGGGUGGUGAUGUGGUUUCUGACGACGACGUUGAUGAUGAUGUUGAUGGAGAUGAAAAUAUUUUAACUUCGUCGUCGUCGCCACAAGAACCACCGCCAUCGCUUGACGAUAACAUCAAAACCCAUAUUAAGAAAAGAUCUUGAGUUACGUCUGAAGUUCAGAUUUUUCAAUAAUAUGCAUAGGAAAUCAGCAAGAAUUCAAUGAAUAAAUUAAAAAUACACAUCAGAAAUAAAAAUUCAAAUAAAAUAUAUAAAAAAAAAACACUAUAAAAUUAAGCGAAGCAAAAUAUAUACUUUUUUUCAUACCAAUUUUAAUUAAAAUGAAAAUGAAAAUAAGGAAAAACUGAAGAUGAUAAUCAUGAUGACGUGAAUAUAAUAAAACUGAUAUAAAUAUAAAAUUAAAUUCAUGUAAAAUAAUAAUAUAAAAAUCAAUAAAUAAAUCAAUAAAUAAAAAUAAUAUCAAAAUAAAUUUAGGCAUUACAUCAAAAAAUCAAAAUCAAAAAACCAAAAGUCAAUUUAAAAAACUAUGAAAUUAUCGCUUAGGAUGUAAAGGAAAUAAACGUCGAUGUUGAAAACCAUGUAAAAAACAAAAUCAUAUCCGAUCCAAACAAUAAAACUAAACAAAAAACAACAUCGUCUCUGUAAUAAUAGAAAUGUUUUUUAAAAAUCAAAACUGAGUGUUUAAAAACUUAAACACAAAACUGAUUUAAAACCAAGAAAACAUAAAUCUUUCAGAAAAGGAUUUUUUUAAAAUACGUGUUUCCCGCCUGAACCAGCGCAAAUAAGCGAGCAUCUUGUUGUCUCCAAAAAAAAAUAAAACUAAAAACAUAAAACAACAAUUUUAAAAAUUUUAAACAAAAAAAACAAAUAAAUUUAAUUAAACAUACCUUAAUAUACCUACAUACCUUCAUCUUAUUUAAACAGAAAAGAAAUAAUUAUAUAGCAACAAAAAUAUUAAAAAAUAAUACAUUUUAUUUCUUAAAAUAAAAACAAAACAAAAACUUAUCCCAAAACAAACUCCGAUCGAAUGAAAAACACUGGCCGUCAAAGACGAAUGGGUCAUUUCUCAAGAAAUUACACUGUUGGUCAUUUUCCAAAAUAGAAACAAAUUCAAAAUUAUUAAUUCAACAAUCAACAACAACAAAAAACCACAAAAUUUAUUCGUAUUUAUUAUUAUUACUAAUUUAAAAAUAAAAAUAUAAAAUGUUUCUUUAGACUAAUUUUUCUGAAUCAAAAUAAAUUUGUGAAGCUUGUUGCACAUACAAAAUAUUGUAUAGGACGAAAAAACAAAAAUUAUAAACUAUUAAAAUUGCUAUAUAUUUGUAUUUUGAAAAAUGUUUGUUAAAUCAUAGUCUUUUGAUGUCGCCUUAAUGCAAUUGAUUCGUGUACACACAAAUUUUAAUGUAUAACACUAAAAAAUAUAAAAUAAAAUUAUAUAAAUUACUUAGAAAAAUGUUUCAUCAAAUUGAAUUCAUAUAUUCUUAAUAAAAUUAUGUUAAAUUAUUUUAUUCAAAUUCACAAAUCGCUGCCACAACGAUAUCUCGAUCUAUGAUACCAACACCAACGUAACCAAAACCACUGGGGUACUUUUAGAUGUUUUUAUUCUGAUUAAAUAAAUAAUAAUUAUUUUAUUACUAACCACACAUUGUUUUUUUUCAAUUUGUUUUUUAUUUAAAUUUUAUGCUGUCUUAAUAGGGCAAAAAAAAAACAAAAAUUAAAUUGGCGAAAAAAAAUGUGCUUAAUUUUUAAUUAACAAUUAAACUAAAAAUAUUGUAAACAAUUUUCAUUAGCAAUUUGUCUGGUAUCAAGCUUAAAAUAAAAAUAACCUAAUAAGUGUUUUACAUUUUAAAUAUUUGUACUUUGUAAUAAUUUGAUCCACAAAAAAUAAUCCAAUCAUCGUAAUCAUAAUUAAUAAAAUAAAUCUAAUUAACCGUUAUAAUUAUUAUGUAUUGUAAAGUUUUCUUGGAUGAUGAAAAAGACAAAAGAUAAUGAUGCUAAUAAGUAGGCUUAAGAAGUAUCGCUGGGAAUGGCAAACAUUAAUAACAUUUUAAUUUUGUAUUUUUUUUUUCUUGUCUUUGUUUCAUUUUAAUUCAAAAUAAUUUCCUUAAACAUAAUGUAAAAUAUAAACAAACAAAAAAUAUAAAAAAAAUAAAAGAAACAAUUAUGUAAAAUAAAAAUAGACCUUUUUAACAAUUUUUUAUUAUAUUAUAAUUAUUAUUUGAAAAUACAAUUUGAGAGACUUUGGAAAAGCUUUUUACAAUAUUAUAAUUAAUUAUUACACAUUUUUGCUAUAGUUUAAAAAAAAAAAAAACAAACAAACAAACAAAAAAACAAUUGUGUAUAAACAAAAAAAUCAUGUGUUUUUUUCAUUGUUAAAUUAAUUAAACUAUUGUAAAAGAGCAAAAUGAUUUUAUUGCAUAUUUAGUUUUUAAUGAAUUAUAAAUGAUUUUAAGAACAAAUUUAAAAAAAAUAAUAAUAAACUUAACAAGAGAAAGAGUUUAGUGUAACAAAAUAAUAAUAAUUGUAGAAGGAAGAAAAUAUUAAAAAAUGUAACGUAUGUAAAAUGAUGACAUUAUGUACGAGAGUUUAUAAAAUUACACACACUACAGCAAAACACAAACACACACAGAAAUGAUUUAUUAUUAUAAUAAAGAGAGAGAAAAUAA